GGCAACCUCCUUUGAGUCCCCUCCCUUUGUAUAGGAGCUCUGUUUUCACUGUGUUUCACUCUAUUAAAUCUUGCAAUUGCACUCUUCUGGUCCAUAUUUGUCACGGCUUGAGCUGAGCUUUCACUUGCCGUCCACCACUACUGUUUGCUGCUGUCACAGACCCGCCGCUGACUCCCAUCCCGCUGCUGACUCCCAUCCCUCCGGAUCCGGCAGGGUGUCCGCUGUGCUCCUGAUCCAGCAAGACUCCCAUUGCCACUCCCGAUAGUGCUAAAGGCUUGCCAUUGUUCCUGCAUGGCUAAGUGCCUGGGUUCGUCCUAAUCCAGCUGAACACUAGUCACUGGGUUCCACGGUUCUCUUCCAUGACCCGCGGCUUCUAAUAGAGCUAUAACACUCACCACAUGGCCCAAUAUUCCAUUCCUUGGAAUCCGUGAGGCCAAGAACCCCAGGUCAGAGAACACGAGGCUUGCCACCAUCUUGGAAGCAGCCUGCCACCAUCUUGGAAGUGGCUCACCACCGUCUUGGGAGUUCUGUGAACAAGGACCCCUGGUAACAUUUUGGCGACCACGAAGGGACAUCCAAAGCUCUUAACUAAUGCUUGUGAUGUUUAACGCCUGUCUUUUCAACUU
RNAcentral lists this long non-coding RNA (626 nucleotides) under Homo sapiens (human). RNAcentral's name for it is "HSALNT0373923". The record is from RNAcentral. Lineage: Eukaryota; Metazoa; Chordata; Mammalia; Primates; Hominidae.